Molecule: transfer RNA, 74 nt
Filed under: Mustela putorius furo (domestic ferret)
Lineage: Eukaryota; Metazoa; Chordata; Mammalia; Carnivora; Mustelidae
Rfam family: tRNA
About the family: Transfer RNA (tRNA) molecules are approximately 80 nucleotides in length. Their secondary structure includes four short double-helical elements and three loops (D, anti-codon, and T loops).
Source: Rfam by way of RNAcentral
GCCUGACUGGCUCAAUCUGUAGAGCAUGAGACUCUUGAUCUUGGGGUUGAUGAGUUCAAGCCCCAGGUAGGGCA